GUCAUUGGCCAACCGCACGCUCCACGGGGGAGGGCGUCCGGGUGGGCUAAGCACAACCCUCUCACAUUGGUCCAGACCCCGUGCGGACGCAAAAGCUGCUCUAGGCUCCGGGGAAACUUUGGGGCUGCUGGCUGGCAACAGUGGACUAAUGUCCUCAUCAAGAAGGCUGCUGGCUGCAAGAGAAGUUAGGGGCUUCCGGGCCUAAAACAGUGGGAAGCAGUUGUGUGUAAAAGAAGCCAUGAUGGACCUACUAACUGGACGGGAGCAUAAUCAAGCCAAGAAUGGAGUCAUGUGAGGAGAAUUCUGAGCACUUGUGAGAACACUUCAAAGACAACACAAAUGUCUUGUGACCUCAAUGUCUUCAAAAUGCUGAAUUGUUCUUGGAAUGAAUUUUUUGUGCUCCUCCCAGGUGUCAUGGAUUCAAAAGGCUAAGAUCAAAAACACAAGUAACAGUCCAUGCUGGCAAGGCUUGGAAGAAGGGAAACACUCCUCCAUCGACGGUGGAAGCUCAAACUCAUACAGCCACCAUGGCAUCUAUAAGGUCUGGGUGGUAUUCCAAGGCAGAAAGCAAGCCUGACACUAGAAGAAUCCUGCCUGAGAUCAUGGGGCCCUCAGAGGAACAGAGCUGGAGACAGACGACACUCACAUGGGACUACUCAGGAGGACCUGGAUGAAGACCAAGUUCAAGUUAACCACCAGACCAUGGGGCCCAGACAGGGAGUUUAAUCAAGUACCAGAACAAGCCCGUAUUCAAAUGCGGAAGAGAGUGAGGUCUGGCCUGGGAGCCACGGCAGCAGCAAAGGGCAGCAGCAAAGACUCCUCCCCUCCUGCUCUGUAUAGAGCAGGUGUCUAUGCAGGACCUUUCUUCUUCCAUACAAGUCCCAACCAAGCCCUCAGUCUACUGGGUGGUUCUGUUCUUUGUCACCCAAUCUGCCACCCCCUGAAGAUUCGUCUGGAAAUGAUUCCCCAACAGAAUCCCUGACCAGUUCUCUGUCAAGUGGGAUAGUCAAGGCCAACGACCGCACCAAGGGAAGGCAAACAAACGAACAACCAGGAGCUGAGAGAACAACAGGGCAAUCAAACCACUUUUUGGUCCUUUCAUUAAAUGAAAGGAGAAAGACGAUGGCAUUCCUGUGAACCAGCCAGUCCUUGGCUUUGGAAAGGAAGCCUGUUCCAGGGUAGAACCUCUUCUUUCCUCCUCUUCUCCCUGUUCUAUUGCUUUUCUAAGAGGCACCUGAAAAGGCUAAUGCUCUUCCCAGGGUUCUGUUCCUCAAGGGCUAAGUGUGAGGGGCUUUUCUUUGAAGGAUGCUGACUACUUUUACUAUGAAUCCUCAAGCAGAUCCAGUCCUGCUAUCUCUGUGAAUAUGUGUUCACUUUUUACCUUUGGGAGUGUAAAAGGGAGUUGCUAAGCUGUAACCUAAUGGUUAUUCCUCUUCACCGGGGGAAACUAUGAAUUAGUCACAGCAUGGCUUUGGAAAUGGCAUCUUCUAGGAAGCCUCCUUAUAUCACAAAUGAGCCUCACAAGUUCCUAGUAUUAGGUACUGAGGAACUUAUUUAAAAUGUCGUAUUGCUUCCUCAGAAUAACCCUAUGGAGUGGUUGCUAUUAUUUUGCCUAAUUCAUGAAGGCUGAAACUGAAACUAGGCUGAGCUAAGCUACCAUACAGAAUUAGAGGUGGAGAAUGUUUCUGUCUUCAGGUUUCUGUUGCUGUGAAGAAACACCAUGACCACUGAAACUUUUUAUGUAGGAGAACAUUUCACUGGGGUUGGCUUACAGUUGGGAGUUUUAGCUGUUAUCAUGGCAGGAAGACCUGGAGAGGUAACCAAGAGUCAUUAGGCAGCAAAGAGGGGGAGGGAGGACUGAACUAGACUUGAGCAUUUGAAACCCAGAGCCCACCCUCCGUGACACAUUUCCUCUAACAAAGUCAUUGUACACCAACAAGGCCACAUGUCCUAAUCCUUUCAAACAAUGCCACUCCCUAUGAACCAGUGGGGGCCACUAUCAUUCAAACCACACAAUUUCUCAAAGACAGCCCAAGCUCCUGUGUCUGCUCUUCCUUGCCCUGCUCUGUCACCAUGAAUUCUCAUAAAGAGAUUUGUUUCCAGUGGGGGCUUGUGUGCUGGUCUUGAACAUUCUUACAGUGUACAUCAAUCAAUUUUCUUCUCAAUGUUCUGGUGCCCCUGGAGAGGGGAACAGAGGCUGGUGAGACUAAAGAGACUAGCAAAAGGUGCUCCAACUACAAGAGGAAGUAGGAUUAACCUGGGGGUAAAUGUCAAACGAAAACUUCCAUGCUGUCUUUGCUGUAGUGACUCAGAAUCCACCCUCCAGAGUCUCCAUAGAAAGAAGGAAUAAAUAGAAAAUACAUCAAAAGGACCAGCCCUUAGAAAUGCUAUUUGUGAUCACAUCAGAGACUUGGUAUCACUUCAGAUAUGUAUUAAAAUACCAUUCUGGAACUUCAAGGCCUUUACCUCCCUUCCCAGUGGUUUAAAACUCCAUUUUAUCGGAUUGUUCUGUGGAAACGUAAAGGAGAAAAGAAGCCACUGGGAAGAGAAAAAAUUGAUAUUCCUACCCCAAAGAGUCAGGCAGGCAGAAGGCAGGGCUGUCUACUGUUGGAGGAUAGUGGCACCUGACAUGAUUCUGUAUGACCAAUGAAUACAUUUUUUAACAUUUUUCUGUGUUCUAUUGAAAAUAGAUUUUUUUCAUACAGUAUAUUCUGGUUCUCCUCCCUCAACUUCAAGAUUUCCUCCACCUCCUAUCCUGUUAAAAUUUACACCCUUUCUGUCUCUCCUUAGAAAACAAAAAGAAAUU
This 2806-nucleotide small RNA is filed under the name Rattus norvegicus (Norway rat). RNAcentral describes it as "uncharacterized LOC102552767". Lineage: Eukaryota; Metazoa; Chordata; Mammalia; Rodentia; Muridae. The record is from RNAcentral.